Molecule: ribosomal RNA, 800 nt
Filed under: Loktanella sp.
Lineage: Bacteria; Pseudomonadati; Pseudomonadota; Alphaproteobacteria; Rhodobacterales; Roseobacteraceae
Description: bacterial SSU rRNA
Rfam family: Bacterial small subunit ribosomal RNA
Source: RNAcentral
AUGGCUCAGAACGAACGCUGGCGGCAGGCCUAACACAUGCAAGUCGAGCGCACCUUCGGGUGAGCGGCGGACGGGUUAGUAACGCGUGGGAACGUACCCAGAUCUACGGAAUAGCCUUUGGAAACGAAGAGUAAUACCGUAUACGCCCUUCGGGGGAAAGAUUUAUCGGAUUUGGAUCGGCCCGCGUUAGAUUAGAUAGUUGGUGGGGUAACGGCCUACCAAGUCUACGAUCUAUAGCUGGUUUGAGAGGAUGAUCAGCAACACUGGGACUGAGACACGGCCCAGACUCCUACGGGAGGCAGCAGUGGGGAAUCUUAGACAAUGGGCGAAAGCCUGAUCUAGCCAUGCCGCGUGAGUGACGAAGGCCCUAGGGUCGUAAAGCUCUUUCGCCAGGGAUGAUAAUGACAGUACCUGGUAAAGAAACCCCGGCUAACUCCGUGCCAGCAGCCGCGGUAAUACGGAGGGGGUUAGCGUUGUUCGGAAUUACUGGGCGUAAAGCGCGCGUAGGCGGAUUGGAAAGUUGGGGGUGAAAUCCCAGGGCUCAACCCUGGAACUGCCUCCAAAACUAUCAGUCUAGAGUUCGAGAGAGGUGAGUGGAAUUCCAAGUGUAGAGGUGAAAUUCGUAGAUAUUUGGAGGAACACCAGUGGCGAAGGCGGCUCACUGGCUCGAUACUGACGCUGAGGUGCGAAAGUGUGGGGAGCAAACAGGAUUAGAUACCCUGGUAGUCCACACCGUAAACGAUGAAUGCCAGACGUCAGGGGGCUUGCCCUUUGGUGUCACACCUAACGGAUUAAGCAUU